This 62-nucleotide transfer RNA is filed under the name Antrokoreana gracilipes. Its description in RNAcentral is "tRNA-Arg". The record is from RNAcentral. Lineage: Eukaryota; Metazoa; Arthropoda; Diplopoda; Julida; Nemasomatidae.
AAGUAAGAAGUGAAAUGUACACUAUCAGUUUCGACCUGACGUUUGGGGUAACCCCUUACUUA